AGAGUUUGAUUAUGGCUCAGGAUGAACGCUGGCGGCGUGCCUAACACAUGCAAGUCGAGCGAUUCUCUUCGGAGAAGAGCGGCGGACGGGUGAGUAACGCGUGGGUAACCUGCCUCAUACACAUGGAUAACAUACCGAAAGGUAUGCUAAUACAGGAUAACAUAAGAGAUUCACAUGGAUUUCUUAUCAAAGCUCCGGCGGUAUGAGAUGGAUCCGCGUCUGAUUAGCUAGUUGGUAAGGUAACGGCUUACCAAGGCGACGAUCAGUAGCCGACCUGAGAGGGUGAUCGGCCACAUUGGAACUGAGACACGGUCCAAACUCCUACGGGAGGCAGCAGGUGGGGAAUAUUGCACAAUGGGCGAAAGCCUGAUGCAGCAACGCCGCGUGAGUGAUGAAGGCCGUUCGGGUACGUAAAACUCUGUCCUCAAGGAAGAAUAAUGACGGUACUUGAGGGGGAAGCCCCGGCUAACUACGUGCCAGCAGCCGC
This 487-nucleotide ribosomal RNA is filed under the name uncultured bacterium. Its description in RNAcentral is "bacterial SSU rRNA". It matches the Rfam family "Bacterial small subunit ribosomal RNA", at positions 8 to 518 of the family's 1533-position model. The record is from RNAcentral.